This 1892-nucleotide long non-coding RNA is filed under the name Mytilus galloprovincialis (Mediterranean mussel). The record is from RNAcentral. Lineage: Eukaryota; Metazoa; Mollusca; Bivalvia; Mytilida; Mytilidae.
AUUAUUUAAAACUUAUAAUUCGAUAAAUUAAGUAGUAUAUUACAUAUGUCUUAGAUUUUGGAUUUAAGAAUUUGUGGAACUAAUUAUACUGAUAUGUAAAACGUUCUACAUUACUUAUGUUAUUUGUAUAUAUUUGCGAUUGCUUAUUGUUAUGCGUUUACUUUUCUACAUUGGCUAGAUGUGUAGGGGGAGGUUUGAGAUCUCACAAACAUGUUUAACCCCGCCGCAUUUUUGCGCCUGUUCCAAGUCAGUAUUAUUUUAAUUUAAGUUUCUUGUGUUCAAUUUGGAAAUUAGUAUGGCGGUCAUUAUCACUGAACUAGUAUACAUUUGUUUAGGGGCCAGCUGAAGGUCGCCUCCGGAUGCGGUUGUUUUUUUCUAUGGUCGGGUUGUUGUCUCUUUGGCACAUUCCCCAUUUCCAUUCUCAAUUUUAAUUACACUGUAUGAUUUGUAUAUAUCAAACUAUUGUCAAUGUAUUAAGGGUAUUUGCUCCUUUGUUAAAAAAAGCAAACAUUUUUAAAAAAGUUAUAAAUUGAUAGUCUAUAAAUAACGUACCUUAAACAUACAAAUAGAUAUAUUACUAAUUAACGUGACAGUUUUAUUUUUUAUUUCAGGACCUUACUGCGUAUUAUAAAAUUUUACCCGAAAUUUAUUAAUAAGAUCCUACUUGCUACAUAUGUGCACCAUUUGAAUGAAUAGAAUUUCAUUGAUUAACUUUCCGCUGCAUUCGGUUAACACAAUAGGGUAAUAGCAUUUAAAUAAAAACAUUAAAGAGUUAUCAUGCGAGUUAUCCAUACUCUGGAACUGAUAACUGAAUUCUUUGUACAGUUAUUAAGAUAACGAUGCGUUUUACAGAAAAGGGGAUAAUGAACUGAAAGUGCAUAAUAAAUAGCAAAAAAAUACCAAAAAUAAGAAACACAAAAAUAAACAAAAAAAUAAAGAAUGAAAAAUAUUUGGGUGUUAUUAAAACAUUAAGAAUAGAGAAUAAUUGGCAACAGAUAUAAGAAAAAAAUACAGCAAAAAGUAAAUAAUAUUAAGAAUAAAGAUAUUAAAUUAUCUCCAAUACACACCCACAGCUCUCGAACAAUCAAUUAACUAAUAUUGUGGGAAAUGGAUUCUGAGACUGAAAGUUUUAUGUAACUAAGAUAUAUAUAAAUUACAAUUUUCAGUGAAAAUAUAUAUGUAAUGAUUGGUAACGUUUUACUUGUAUGUAUUGUUAGGAAUUAUAUAUUGUUUAUAUUGCAAUACAAAACUAUUGUGUUUGCUAAAUUUGUAUCAGAAGAAGAUUGUUUAUCAGUGUUAUAUGUAUUUUUUUUUUAUUUACUUUUUUCUGUAUAUUUAUAAUCAAUAUUAAUAUCACCAGUGAAAAGUGACUUACGGGUACUUUUUACUGGCAAUGUCGGUUAUGAGAGUUAUCUGCCUUGGAUGCAUUCAUAUUUAUUUGUAUGUGAACAAUAAUAUUUAAAUUAUUUUUAUUAUUUAUAUUGCAGUGUAAUUUUUUAUAAUUUGCUAAAAUUCUUGUGACAGUUUUUACUUUUCUUUGCAAACAUUCAAAAUCAAAUUGUUGUUCAAUUUCUGAGAUUAAUUGUACCUUGAUUUCUGAUUGUUAUCGUUUAAGUUUAGGUCAAAUCAUUUUGAAAUUUAUUGAAAGAUAAGUUAAAUCAGCAUUUAAUUGUUCGAAUUAAUGUUUGGUACACACAUAGUUUAUGUUGUGAAUAUAAGGAUUAAAUUUGAUUAAGCAGUUAUCUAUGUCAUGAAAAGAAGUUGUAUGAAAAUGUUACCAUGCUAAACGGAACAUUAUUAUGAUGAUUAUUAAGAUAUAGGUCUAGGAAUUACAAACUAACAACAUGGUUAUAUUGUAAAUAACAACUAUUGUAUUCAUUGAUUGAACAAAU